Molecule: ribosomal RNA, 122 nt
Filed under: Glomus sp. (unid)
Lineage: Eukaryota; Fungi; Glomeromycota; Glomeromycetes; Glomerales; Glomeraceae
Source: RNAcentral
CAGUCGUACCUGCGGACAAUCAGCUUUUGAGUGUGAUUAUGUGGAUUGUGAGGAGUUUAAUCACCCUCAUGUUUACGUAUUCGUGCUCUUGGGUGUCCUUGCCCGUGUGGUAGGUUAACAUC